Long non-coding RNA from Ceratitis capitata (Mediterranean fruit fly), 1399 nucleotides. RefSeq lists it as uncharacterized. The record is from RefSeq and is a predicted model, not a curated record. Lineage: Eukaryota; Metazoa; Arthropoda; Insecta; Diptera; Tephritidae. The transcript is spliced from 2 exons.
UCCACCGUUUGCUCGAUUCAGUUGCUAAUCGUUUGCCGGCCUUUUUGGAUGUCGAAAAUCAUUAACGUAGUGUUCGUUGUUGGCGUACGGUUGCGAUCGUCGUACACAAUUCGUCGUUGAUUUACGUGCGGUCGUUUUUUUCCAGCUACCUGGCUUAUUGUCGUUGCAGUCGCUGUCUUUUGUUUGCAAAGAAAAGCAGAAAUCGACAAGACAAGUCUGUAAGCCUGGCUACUUGCGGGCUGCAACAGAAGUGUUGGUAGACGCGGGUGUUUUUUACAUACAUACAUACAUUCACACAUAUGUAUGUGUGUGCGCGCGUAGAGUUCUUACACAAAAACCAAAAACGGACAAUAGAUUUUCAUGAUGGAUCGGCUACCUUUGGGUUUUUCGUAGGAGAAGAAGUGAAACUGUGUAAAAUUAAUGCAUGAAAUACAUACAUAUGCACAUUUUCAAAUAGUCUUAGCAACCACUGGAAUUAACGGAUAUUGAACGAAAGUAACAAAACAAUUAGCAAUCAUUUAAAAAAAAAAAUUAAAAAGUAAUUAAAACAAAAAUCAAAAAUAAAUAAAAAAUAAAAAUUUUAAAAGUGAAAUGUGGGCAAACCUCCCACAGUGCAAAAUGUUCGGGUAAAUAAAUAUGCUUUAAUAUGUAUUGCGAUAUGCCAUAUGAUUGCCAGUAACUAAAUAUGUAACAAAAAAAUUAAACAAAUAAUAAUUAGUGCAACUAAAGCUACGCCAUUGCACCAAACACACUUGCAACAAAGCAAAAAUCAAAUCGCUGAAAUCCUAAACUACGCAAAAAAAGCUAAUAAAACCAAGUUUAAAGUGAAAAAAUGUAAAAUAAACAAAAAAAAAGCUUAAUUUCUUAGAUAAUUGACAAAGCACAAGUGUUUUAUAAGCGGCAAGUGAGUGCGUACAUACAUACAUACAUACAGCUGGAAGACAGCCAGAAGUGCAAAGCGAAAAAAAAAAUAAAUAAAUAAAUAAUUAACAAAAAACAUAUUUCACUACAAAAAUUGCAACGCAGCAAAUCAAAUACGCACAUUGAGCCUCAAUAAAUAAAGCGACAAAAGAUUUCUUACAACAAAUUUACAACUUGUGCGCUGGUGUGUACAAAUAGUGAGUGCUAAAGUGUAUAUGCAACAAAGUGCCGCCGACGGCAACACACUACAUAUGGAUAUAAAGUGUUGGAUGAAGGCGAUGAGACAGAGGCAGGGGCAGACGCGGCCAACUGUCGCCGCCACACAGCCGCUGCUAAAAAUACAUACAAAUGCUGCGUCAUUACUUCGGCGCGCCAGCGAGAUGCUGUUUUUGUUGCUACUAAUAGUCGGCGACAGCAGAUUAACUGGAUUGCAGCAUGUUGCAGCGCUUAAGGGUGAGUUUUCUUUUCUUUCGUCACA